AGUGAACGCUGGCGGUAGGCCUAACACAUGCAAGUCGAACGGCAGCACAGUAAGAGCUUGCUCUUACGGGUGGCGAGUGGCGGACGGGUGAGGAAUACAUCGGAAUCUACUUUUUCGUGGGGGAUAACGUAGGGAAACUUACGCUAAUACCGCAUACGACCUACGGGUGAAAGCAGGGGAUCUUCGGACCUUGCGCGAAUGAAUGAGCCGAUGUCGGAUUAGCUAGUUGGCGGGGUAAAGGCCCACCAAGGCGGCGAUCCGUAGCUGGUCUGAGAGGAUGAUCAGCCACACUGGAACUGAGACACGGUCCAGACUACUACGGGAGGCACCAGUGGGGAAUGUUGGACAAUGGGGGCAAGCCUGAUCCAGCCAUACCGCGUGGGUGAAGAAGGCCUUCGGGUUGUAAAGCCCUUUUGUUGGGAAAGAAACGCAGCAGGUUAAUACCCCGCUGUUCUGACGGUACCCAAAGAAUAAGCACCGGCUAACUUCGUG
RNAcentral lists this ribosomal RNA (492 nucleotides) under uncultured bacterium. RNAcentral describes it as "partial 16S ribosomal RNA". It matches the Rfam family "Bacterial small subunit ribosomal RNA", at positions 29 to 507 of the family's 1533-position model. The record is from RNAcentral.